This 496-nucleotide ribosomal RNA is filed under the name uncultured bacterium. RNAcentral's name for it is "partial 16S ribosomal RNA". It matches the Rfam family "Bacterial small subunit ribosomal RNA", at positions 29 to 507 of the family's 1533-position model. The record is from RNAcentral.
AUGAACGCUGGCGGCGUGCCUAAUACAUGCCAGUCGAGCGAACAGAUAAGGAGCUUGCUCCUUUGACGUUAGCGGCGGACGGGUGAGUAACACGUGGGUAACCUACCUAUAAGACUGGGAUAACUUCGGGAAACCGGAGCUAAUACCGGAUAACAUUUGGAACCGCAUGGUUCUAAAGUGAAAGAUGGUUUUGCUAUCACUUAUAGAUGGACCCGCGCCGUAUUAGCUAGUUGGUAAGGUAACGGCUUACCAAGGCAACGAUACGUAGCCGACCUGAGAGGGUGAUCGGCCACACUGGAACUGAGACACGGUCCAGACUCCUACGGGAGGCAGCAGUAGGGAAUCUUCCGCAAUGGGCGAAAGCCUGACGGAGCAACGCCGCGUGAGUGAUGAAGGGUUUCGGCUCGUAAAACUCUGUUAUUAGGGAAGAACAAAUGUGUAAGUAACUGUGCACGUCUUGACGGUACCUAAUCAGAAAGCCACGGCUAACUACGUG